GGUUUCCGUAGGUGAACCUGCGGAAGGAUCAUUACCGAUGUAAUCCAAAAGCACGACUCCGUCGUGACUACCGUGUGAACUGUACCAAACUAUUCAGGGGUCGGCCGGUCCGUUAAAUGGCGGUCGGACGCGUGCACUGCGCGGCCGCUCCGCCAGCCCCGCCUGUGUUUUUUAACAUACGUGUCUUGUCUGAAAACGUGACCACUGCCGUGGUCUAGAGCAAAUGAAAAGAGAGACAACUUUUGACGGUGGAUCUCUUGGCUCACGCAUCGAUGAAGAACGCAGCCAGCUGCGAUAAGUAGUGUGAAUUGCAGAAUUCAGUGAAUCAUCGAAUCUUUGAACGCAAAUGGCGCUCUUGGGUUCUCCCAGGAGCAUGUCUGUCUGAGUGUCGGAUAUCAUCCAACGCACCAAGCGGUGCGGCGUUGAGGCGUCACGGCCCUUCUUGCGGCCGUGUCCCUUGAAAGUUAGAGAGACUCGCCGCGGCACGGGCCCGUUCCCUGCACACUCGCGGAGGCUAAAAACGCUUUUGCCCUUCGCGUGCACGGGAGCGACUCGUCCGCCGAGUCGCGGAGGCGAAACCUUUUCAACUCUUGACCUCAGAAUCAGG
RNAcentral lists this ribosomal RNA (607 nucleotides) under Cycloseris tenuis. Its description in RNAcentral is "eukaryotic LSU rRNA". The stretch from base 238 to 391 matches the Rfam family "5.8S ribosomal RNA". Lineage: Eukaryota; Metazoa; Cnidaria; Anthozoa; Scleractinia; Fungiidae. The record is from RNAcentral.